Long non-coding RNA from Pangasianodon hypophthalmus (striped catfish), 370 nucleotides. RefSeq lists it as uncharacterized. The record is from RefSeq and is a predicted model, not a curated record. Lineage: Eukaryota; Metazoa; Chordata; Actinopteri; Siluriformes; Pangasiidae. The transcript has 3 exons.
CUGCUGGAUUGCAAUGUGAUCAAGAUAAGUCUGUAACAACAUGCAAUGACGUCCUUGACAUUUGGUUUUGGCUCGUUUGAGGCAGCACAUGCGGCAAAUGCAAUAAAGCUGAAGCGAUUAUGUUUCAAGUCAGCCAGGUCGAUUUCUGCAGUUCCAGCAAUGACAAGCUCCAGUUCACGGGCAUCAAACACAGAGACCAGCCGCACGUCCACAACCUGCACAGCCACGAAAUGUGAUUAAUUUCACAUGUGGCAGCAUGAUAUCAACACUAGUGUCAUAUUCGAAGGUGAUGUUCUACCUCAUAGAAGCCUCGCACCAGGCUCUCCGUCUGCUGAGCCACACCUCUCUCAAUGCGCCACUUCACCAUGCG